This is a long non-coding RNA of Amphiprion ocellaris (clown anemonefish), 1682 nucleotides long. The record is from Ensembl. NCBI's taxonomy places the organism in Eukaryota, Metazoa, Chordata, Actinopteri, Pomacentridae.
UAGAGGUUGUUUUUUUUUCUCAUGUGUCUGAUAGCUUGACUCUUCCCUCCUCUUCACAUAAAUACCAACUCGGAGCAAACAAGUAUCACAGCCUCACCUGGGAGCCUGGUGAAGACAUCAGAGGCAGUGCACUCAUAACUGUUACCUGAGGACAAACUACAAACACAAGGUCUUCCUUCCAAGGAAUAAUUACUACUUUCUCUCUCUUGCACGAAAGACAAGAUCUACAGUCUACUAUAGGCAUGGACAACAGACUACUCUUCACUGUCCUGGUUGUGAUGAUGUCCUUGAACUUUAUGGGCACCUAUGCUCAAACAUCCCCACCCCUACCCCCACCCCCACCCCCACCCCCACCCGCACCAUCCACCACAACUGCAGCAGCCACCACAACUGCAGCAGCCACCACAACUGCACCAACCACCACAACUGCACCAACCACCACAACUGCACCAACGACCACAACUGCACCAACCACCACAACUGCAGCCACCACGACACCAACCACCACAACUGCACCAACCACCACACCAACACCAACCACCACAACUGCGGCAAUCACAACUGGAACACCAAACAUUACAAUCACCACUCCAGCAACAACUGGUCCCACAACCACUGAUCACGCAAUCACAAUCCAGCAAUCAGUAAUGCAAGCUCUACUGAUCACUGUGGCUACCCUGGGUCUAAGUAUGAUAUGAGGAAAAUAAAACCUUCAACCAUCAAAAGAACUUCCCCAUCCAUGCAUCUGUGCUAUUGAAUGUAAACCUUUAAAGGUCUUUCUGGAGUUUAACUUUACAUAGUGUAACCCUGAUUGAUAGGAUUAUUUUUGUAAUAACUCAACACAGGUUAAAGCAAGAGGACUGGUAAAACUGGUAACUCUUACAACUUUUUGAGACUUUAGCAACUCUGAUUUAAAAAAAAAAAAAAAAAAAACUGUUAAGAGUUUUAUGAGUUAUGUAACUAUAUUUAAACACAAUACUGCUGGGUUUUUGCCCUAUGCCUCAGAUGCAAUGUAUUCAUUAAAAUGUCUAAAACAGGGCACAAAUAAAAAGUAGAAUUAUAAUAGAAGCAUUAAGACUAAUCAAAAGAAAAAUUUAGAUCAUGUCAACGAAUCAUGGCUGUCAUCAGCAAAUGUCUUGGGUUCUAUAAAUUUUAGGUUUAGGGUCUAGUUACCUCUUAAACCCACAUUAUUACUGUCAAAAACACUACAGCCAUGGAACUGUUAAACUGUCAUGGAAGGAAAACAUUUUCCGACACAAUAAUGUCCAAAGUUAUAAUCAAUAACAUACUGAACCAAUGACAAACUUUUGUUAACAAAAAAAUUCUUUUGCAUAUGCACAGAACAGACAGGUUUGUUCAUAUCACUAUUUACAUUUACGCAUAAUAGUUUUGUGGUACACUAAAAGCAAGCAAAGACUGUGUUUUUUACUGCUCUGUUAUUACUCACAAUGAUGCUAGCUAAUGGCAGAUGUGUUUUUACAUCAUGUUCUUGUUACUGUUAAUGUACACAGACAGUUGAUUCUUCAACAAUGCUUUCACAAUGAAGCCUCACUGGCUGACACCGAACAUUGAAGAAAUUAAUUUUGCAUACUGACUUAUGUAACAAUGAAGUUUAUAUUGUAUGUUUACGAUUUUAGCCCUGUUAAUAAAGUGAUAUUGUUGGCAGACAGAAAAUGCCAGAC